Molecule: transfer RNA, 76 nt
Filed under: Firmicutes bacterium ADurb.Bin080
Lineage: Bacteria; Bacillati; Bacillota
Also listed under: 2 other names
Description: tRNA-Thr
Rfam family: tRNA
About the family: Transfer RNA (tRNA) molecules are approximately 80 nucleotides in length. Their secondary structure includes four short double-helical elements and three loops (D, anti-codon, and T loops). Further hydrogen bonds mediate the characteristic L-shaped molecular structure. tRNAs have two regions of fundamental functional importance: the anti-codon, which is responsible for specific mRNA codon recognition, and the 3' end, to which the tRNAs corresponding amino acid is attached (by aminoacyl-tRNA synthetases). tRNAs cope with the degeneracy of the genetic code in two manners: having more than one tRNA (with a specific anti-codon) for a particular amino acid; and 'wobble' base-pairing, i.e. permitting non-standard base-pairing at the 3rd anti-codon position.
Source: RNAcentral
GCUAAUGUAGCACAGUCGGUAGUGCGGUUCACUCGUAAUGAACAGGUCGCUGGUUCGAUUCCAGUCAUUAGCUCCA